RNAcentral lists this long non-coding RNA (256 nucleotides) under Gossypium barbadense (sea-island cotton). Its description in RNAcentral is "long non-coding RNA (GBAR_LNC008124)". Lineage: Eukaryota; Viridiplantae; Streptophyta; Magnoliopsida; Malvales; Malvaceae. The record is from RNAcentral.
GGGGGUAGAGUUGUAACGCCCUAAUUUUUGGGAUUUUCGGGUUUCUGUGAUUUUUGGUAAAUUUUGAAAUUUUGGUGUUCUGAAUAUUGGAAUUGUGUUUAAAUGUGUUAGUGGGCCUUUAGAAGGCCCAAGCCUAAGUUAAACACGGUAAAUUAUCAAGGUUGGAUUUUAAGUGAAUAGAAGACUUGGUUAAGUGGCAAGGUGGCGCCACUAAGUUCCUAAAAAAUGUCGUCUGGGAAGGAAUUAAAGGUCCAGG